This 73-nucleotide transfer RNA is filed under the name Nitrospirota bacterium. RNAcentral's name for it is "Nitrospirae bacterium (marine metagenome) tRNA-Glu". It matches the Rfam family "tRNA". From Rfam's summary of the family: Transfer RNA (tRNA) molecules are approximately 80 nucleotides in length. Their secondary structure includes four short double-helical elements and three loops (D, anti-codon, and T loops). Lineage: Bacteria; Pseudomonadati; Nitrospirota. RNAcentral also lists the same sequence under 1 other name. The record is from RNAcentral.
GGUCCCAUCGUCUAGUGGCCUAGGACACCGGCCUCUCACGUCGGUAACACGGGUUCGACUCCCGUUGGGACCG